GCGAUUUUGGGAUAAUAAUCGCCUAAAACGCAAACUGUUUUGGAAGAUCAUGGAAUUUUGUGACAAAACGUGAAAGAAAUAAGUUGUUAUUUUGGCAUUCAGUUCUCAAGUGAGGACUAUGUUGCAAGUGUCUUGUGUUAUGUAGUUUUAGUAUGUUGGAUUAGAUUUUAGUGGCUACUUGUUGCAGUAGCAUGUUAAACUUUGUUUGUUAAAUUCUAUUACGUUUUU
Molecule: long non-coding RNA, 228 nt
Organism: Xenia sp. Carnegie-2017
Lineage: Eukaryota; Metazoa; Cnidaria; Anthozoa; Malacalcyonacea; Xeniidae
Exons: 2
Source: RefSeq, a predicted model, not a curated record